This is a non-coding RNA of Physcomitrium patens, 2067 nucleotides long. The record is from RefSeq and is a predicted model, not a curated record. Lineage: Eukaryota; Viridiplantae; Streptophyta; Bryopsida; Funariales; Funariaceae.
UUUUAAAAUGAGUUUCAAAUGUAAUUUUGAAUAUUUUUUUAAAAAACUAUAAAGUCUUUUGAAUUAAAAGUGAAAAAACACUCAUACAUGAUAUGUUUAUUUUAAUUGGACCAAGAUAAAUAUUAAAAAAUAAUAAUUUUGAAGUCCAUUUCAGUGUAUAAUAAUAUCAUCCUUGUUCAACCUUGUUCAAAUUCGUUUUUGAUUCUAAACAAAAUGUUUUAGAUUUUAAGUCAAGUAUUUAUUACAAGAAAAAAAGAGUUAAAAGACAUUAUCUGCAACACUAGAAGAUUCUUGAGGGAAUUUCUGUUGCAGUUGCAGUGCAUCACAUGCCGUGCCGGCUCUUCGGUCCUUGGACUACACUAUAAGACGAUGAUCAUGGUCUGCACUGGAGGUUUCUUUCUGUUGCUCAUUGUGUAUAUGUUGGAAGGCUAUGAAGUUAGUUCACUCCUGCGAGAUUCAGAAAUGGGGUGAAGACAAUCCAUGACGUGCCCACAAACUCUGCUAGAAACAACCCUCAACCUAUGCUAAAGGCAAGAGAUUGCGAGACUUUGUUUAUUAUUUCUGCACAACUGAAUAAGAGGAGGUGCAUGCGAUGGCAAGCAGAAAAAUCUUUAAACUGAUAAAGCUGAAGCUGCUCUGGGCACUCGUGGCAACUCCCACAGUGAUAGCGUUGGAACGCAAGUGCUGCGUGGUUUUAUCUUUUUAACCUUUGCCCAUCACCUUCGAUGACCUCCAGUAAUACAUCGACAUGCCUGCUGUAAGUCUUCAUGCUUGAGUCUAGUUCCUUUCAAACCACACCUCACUUUGUGGUCAUGUUCACAAAGCCGAUGGAUGCAAUGAAAGUGCCGUGAAUCGCACAGUGGUGUGUACGAUCCAUCAACCUAGCAUCGGCACCAUUGAAAACAUUUGAUGAGGUACUCCAACCAUCGUCCUCAAAAGAUUUAGGGUUAGACACCAAAUCAGGAGUUCUAAACUGUGGAAACGUUUCGACGAAUUACUUUUGCCGUACCAUUUAAUGAACUAAUCUUGCGAAUCCUUGGAAUUGUUCUUUGAUGCCACGAGGUGGAUAAGUCAUUCUUAAGAGACCCUUGGAACCUCAAUUUCUCAACCUGAGGUAGUCAUCGAAACAAUGCCGAAGCUGGUUGUAAUGAGAGUGCUAAAUUUUGUCCAAAAACACAAAGGUUACGAACUUUCCUAGAUUUUAUGAAGAACUAUGUGAAACUCUUCCUCUUGUAAGCCGUUUUUGACAUAAAAUACUAAAAAAUUGUGUAUGGCUUUAAAAUGUAGUGGAAGGUCUACUUGCAACCUUUGCACAAUCUUGAAGACUUUCUCUGCAGUUUAUAAAACAAAUAUGGCACGCGCCAAUGAUUAAGGAUCCUUGCUUGUCCUUGCUGGUCUAUCUACGAGCAUUUUAUGAUAACAAGCAACAUCCUAAUUGCUCCUGGUAUGUUAAAAUAUCUUUAUAUUAGUCUUGAAAAACAUUUGUGUCUUAAAUUGCAUAAUUAUUGAGUCAACCAGCUACAACUAUCUGAUGCUAUUCAUACAAGAAGGUUAUUUAUGCAUAUUAGCAUUGCUGGGCUACAUAACUAACAAUAUGUACACUUAAAAAUAACAUGUAUUCUAGCUUGUCUGGUUACAAAAUUUAUAUACCACCUGAUUUGGAGACGUGCUUAUGCUUAUUUUAUGAGAUUUAAUGAAAAAAGAGCCUUCAAUGUGGAGUGAAAAAUAAACAAAAUGGUGUUUUAUAACAUGAAGACCUUGAAGAACAAUAAAUGUUUUACUUGAAAUGCAUAAAGGGGUUUUUACUUGUUACACAAAGAAUCAAUGACUUGCAUGUUUGCAUAACUUACUGGCAGAAUAGUGUAUAGCUAUUACAUAUUAUAUUUUGAAAAAAUGAUUUAGAAUGUAUGGGCAAUCAUUGUUGAGGGUAGAAAGAAAAUUUGCACCACUAAUAUUGUAGGUAUGUCAUUUUCACUUGGGCAGAUUUUUUUUGCUUUUAAGAUUAACAACAUUAUUUUUGUCAAAUAUUAAUUAUAUAAAUGAAAAUAAAUAAUGGUAUAAGAGUUC